RNAcentral lists this ribosomal RNA (342 nucleotides) under uncultured soil bacterium. Its description in RNAcentral is "bacterial SSU rRNA". It matches the Rfam family "Bacterial small subunit ribosomal RNA", at positions 26 to 359 of the family's 1533-position model. The record is from RNAcentral.
AGAGUGAACGCUGGCGGUAGGCCUAACACAUGCAAGUCGAACGGCAGCACAGUAGGAGCUUGCUCUUACGGGUGGCGAGUGGCGGACGGGUGAGGAAUACAUCGGAAUCUACCUUUUGGUGGGGGAUAACGUAGGGAAACUUACGCUAAUACCGCAUACGCCCUUCGGGGGAAAGCCGGGACCAGCAAUGGCCUGGCGCUGAUAGAUGAGCCGAUGUCGGAUUAGCUAGUUGGUGAGGUAAUGGCUCACCAAGGCGACGAUCCGUAGCUGGUCUGAGAGGAUGAUCAGCCACACUGGAUCUGAGACACGGUCCAGACUCCGUACGGGAGGCAGCAGGUGGGG